ACGCUGGCGGCGUGCUUAACACAUGCAAGUCGAACGAGAACGGGAUUGCUUGCAAUCCUUAGUAGAGUGGCGCACGGGUGAGUAACACGUAGAUAAUCUACCUCCAAGCCUGGGAUAACUAUUCGAAAGGAUAGCUAAUACCGGAUGAAGUAUGUUGGCAUAAGUUGACAUAUGAAAGGUUGCCUCUUCUUGAAAGCAAAUGUUUGGAGAUGAGUCUGCGGACCAUUAGUUUGUUGGUGGGGUAAAGGCCCACCAAGACUACGAUGGUUAGCUGGUCUGAGAGGAUGAUCAGCCACACUGGAACUGACACACGGUCCAGACUCCUACGGGAGGCAGCAGUGAGGAAUUUUGCGCAAUGGGGGAAACCCUGACGCAGCAACGCCGCGUGAGUGAAGAAGGCCCUUGGGUCGUAAAGCUCUGUCGACAGGGAAGAAAUUACUUCAUAUUAAUAGUAUGUUGUAUUGACGGUACCUGUAGAGGAAGCACCGGCUAACUCCGUGCCAGCAGCCGCGGUAAUACGGGGGGUGCAAGCGUUAUUCGGAAUUAUUGGGCGUAAAGGGCGCGUAGGCGGUCUUGUCGGUCAGAUGUGAAAGCCCGGGGCUCAACCCUGGAAGUGCAUUUGAAACGGCAAGACUUGAAUACUGGAGAGGAGAGCGGAAUUCCUGGUGUAGAGGUGAAAUUCGUAGAUAUCAGGAGGAACACCGAUGGCGAAGGCAGCUCUCUGGACAGAUAUUGACGCUGAGGCGCGAAGGUGUGGGUAGCAAACGGGA
This 770-nucleotide ribosomal RNA is filed under the name uncultured bacterium. RNAcentral's name for it is "bacterial SSU rRNA". It matches the Rfam family "Bacterial small subunit ribosomal RNA", at positions 33 to 777 of the family's 1533-position model. The record is from RNAcentral.